Molecule: ribosomal RNA, 508 nt
Filed under: uncultured bacterium
Lineage: Bacteria
Description: bacterial SSU rRNA
Rfam family: Bacterial small subunit ribosomal RNA
Source: RNAcentral
GGCUCAGAGCGAACGUUAGCGGCGGGCCUAACACAUGCAAGUCGAACGCGAAAGGUCUUCGGACUGAGUAGAGUGGCGCACGGGUGAGUAACACGUAGGUAAUCUACCCUUUGGCGGGGGAUAACGUUCCGAAAGGAGCGCUAAUACCGCAUAAGACCACGGAGUCUCCGGACGCUGUGGGAAAAGGUGGCCUCUUCUUGAAAGCUACCACCGAAGGAUGAGCCUGCGUCCCAUCAGCUAGUUGGUAAGGUAAUGGCUUACCAAGGCGAAGACGGGUAGCUGGUUUGAGAGAAUGAUCAGCCACACUGGCACUGGAACACGGGCCAGACUCCUACGGGAGGCAGCAGUGAGGAAUAUUGGGCAAUGGGCGAAAGCCUGACCCAGCCACGCCGCGUGAGUGAUGAAGGCCCUCGGGUCGUAAAGCUCUGUGGAGAGGGACGAAAACCCUGGUUUCAAAUAGGCUCCCAGGCUUGACGGUACCUCUUAGCAAGCACCGGCUAACUCUGUG